UCCAUCGUAGUACAAUGGCUAGUAUAUCGCUCUUUCAAUAGUUGGUAGUUCUUCUACAUCUAAGAACAGCGAAGACCCGGGUUCAAUUCCCGGCGGUGGAA
Transfer RNA from Tilletiaria anomala, 101 nucleotides. It matches the Rfam family "tRNA". From Rfam's summary of the family: Transfer RNA (tRNA) molecules are approximately 80 nucleotides in length. Their secondary structure includes four short double-helical elements and three loops (D, anti-codon, and T loops). Further hydrogen bonds mediate the characteristic L-shaped molecular structure. tRNAs have two regions of fundamental functional importance: the anti-codon, which is responsible for specific mRNA codon recognition, and the 3' end, to which the tRNAs corresponding amino acid is attached (by aminoacyl-tRNA synthetases). tRNAs cope with the degeneracy of the genetic code in two manners: having more than one tRNA (with a specific anti-codon) for a particular amino acid; and 'wobble' base-pairing, i.e. permitting non-standard base-pairing at the 3rd anti-codon position. Lineage: Eukaryota; Fungi; Basidiomycota; Exobasidiomycetes; Georgefischeriales; Tilletiariaceae. The record is from Rfam.